GUGAACGCUGGCGGUAGGCCUAACCCAUGCAAGUCGAACGGCAGCACAGUAAGAGCUUGCUCUUACGGGUGGCGAGUGGCGGACGGGUGAGGAAUACAUCGGAAUCUACUUUUUCGUGGGGGAUAACGUAGGGAAACUUACGCUAAUACCGCAUACGACCUACGGGUGAAAGCAGGGGAUCUUCGGACCUUGCGCGAUUGAAUGAGCCGAUGUCGGAUUAGCUAGUUGGCGGGGUAAAGGCCCACCAAGGCGACGAUCCGUAGCUGGUCUGAGAGGAUGAUCAGCCACACUGGAACUGAGACACGGUCCAGACUCCUACGGGAGGCAGCAGUGGGGAAUAUUGGACAAUGGGCGCAAGCCUGAUCCAGCCAUACCGCGUGGGUGAAGAGGGCCUUCGGGUUGUAAAGCCCUUUUGUUGGGAAAGAAAAGCAGCAGGUUAAUACCCCGCUGUUCUGACGGUACCCAAAGAAUAAGCACCGGCUAACUUCGUG
RNAcentral lists this ribosomal RNA (491 nucleotides) under uncultured bacterium. Its description in RNAcentral is "partial 16S ribosomal RNA". It matches the Rfam family "Bacterial small subunit ribosomal RNA", at positions 29 to 507 of the family's 1533-position model. The record is from RNAcentral.